CUAGUAGGUGGGGUAACGGCUCACCUAGGCGACGAUCCCUAGCUGGUCUGAGAGGAUGACCAGCCACACUGGAACUGAGACACGGUCCAGACUCCUACGGGAGGCAGCAGUGGGGAAUAUUGCACAAUGGGCGCAAGCCUGAUGCAGCCAUGCCGCGUGUAUGAAGAAGGCCUUCGGGUUGUAAAGUACUUUCAGCGGGGAGGAAGGCGAUGUGGUUAAUAACCGCGUCGAUAGACGUACCCGCAGAAGAAGCCC
RNAcentral lists this ribosomal RNA (255 nucleotides) under uncultured bacterium. Its description in RNAcentral is "partial 16S ribosomal RNA". It matches the Rfam family "Bacterial small subunit ribosomal RNA", at positions 245 to 493 of the family's 1533-position model. The record is from RNAcentral.